This 22-nucleotide microRNA is filed under the name Tribolium castaneum (red flour beetle). Its description in RNAcentral is "tca-miR-11624a-3-3p". Lineage: Eukaryota; Metazoa; Arthropoda; Insecta; Coleoptera; Tenebrionidae. The record is from miRBase by way of RNAcentral.
UGAUAUGCUAGAGUGUCGGUUU